Molecule: ribosomal RNA, 253 nt
Filed under: uncultured bacterium
Lineage: Bacteria
Description: partial 16S ribosomal RNA
Rfam family: Bacterial small subunit ribosomal RNA
Source: RNAcentral
UACAGAGGUCCCGAGCGUUGUUCGGAUUCAUUGGGCGUAAAGGGUGCGUAGGUGGCGCUGUAAGUGGGGUGUGAAAUCCCGGGGCUUAACCCCGGGACUGCAUUCCAUACUGCGGUGCUUGAGGACUGGAGAGGAGACUGGAAUUUACGGUGUAGCAGUGAAAUGCGUAGAUAUCGGGAGGAACACCAGUGGCGAAGGCGACUACCUGGCCUGUUCUUGACGCUGAGGCGCGAAAGCUAGGGGAGCAAACGGG